RNAcentral lists this ribosomal RNA (305 nucleotides) under uncultured bacterium. RNAcentral's name for it is "bacterial SSU rRNA". It matches the Rfam family "Bacterial small subunit ribosomal RNA", at positions 336 to 633 of the family's 1533-position model. The record is from RNAcentral.
CUCCUACGGGGGGCAGCAGUAGGGAAUUUUCGUCAAUGGGCGCAAGCCUGAACGAGCAAUGCCGCGUGAACGAGGAAGGUCUUCGGAUCGUAAAGUUCUGUUGAAGGGGAAAAAGAGCGGAGAGAGGAAAUGGUCUCCGAUUGAUAUUACCCUUCGAGGAAGUCACGGCUAACUACGUGCCAGCAGCCGCGGUAAUACGUAGGUGGCGAGCGUUAUCCGGAAUGAUUGGGUGUAAAGGGAGCGCAGGCGGUCUGGCAAGUCUGAUGUGAAAUACCGGGGCUCAACUCCGGGACUGCAUUGGAAAC